AAUGAACGCUGGCGGCAUGCCUAACACAUGCAAGUCGAACGAAGGCUUCGGCCUUAGUGGCGCACGGGUGCGUAACGCGUGGGAAUCUGCCCUUGGGUUCGGAAUAACAGUUAGAAAUGACUGCUAAUACCGGAUGAUGUCGUAAGACCAAAGAUUUAUCGCCCAAGGAUGAGCCCGCGUAGGAUUAGCUAGUUGGUGGGGUAAAGGCCUACCAAGGCGACGAUCCUUAGCUGGCCUGAGAGGAUGAUCAGCCACACUGGGACUGAGACACGGCCCAGACUCCUACGGGAGGCAGCAGUGGGGAAUAUUGGACAAUGGGCGAAAGCCUGAUCCAGCAAUGCCGCGUGAGUGAUGAAGGCCUUAGGGUUGUAAAGCUCUUUUACCCGGGAUGAUAAUGACAGUACCGGGAGAAUAAGCUCCGGCUAACUUCGUG
RNAcentral lists this ribosomal RNA (433 nucleotides) under uncultured bacterium. Its description in RNAcentral is "partial 16S ribosomal RNA". It matches the Rfam family "Bacterial small subunit ribosomal RNA", at positions 29 to 507 of the family's 1533-position model. The record is from RNAcentral.